RNAcentral lists this ribosomal RNA (326 nucleotides) under uncultured Bacteroidota bacterium. RNAcentral describes it as "bacterial SSU rRNA". It matches the Rfam family "Bacterial small subunit ribosomal RNA", at positions 28 to 351 of the family's 1533-position model. The record is from RNAcentral. Lineage: Bacteria; Pseudomonadati; Bacteroidota.
GAUGAACGCUAGCGGCAGGCUUAAUACAUGCAAGUCGAACGGGAUUCGAGGUAGCAAUACUUUGAUGAGAGUGGCGCACGGGUGCGUAACGCGUAUGCAACCUACCUUUAACAGGGAGAUAGCCCCGAGAAAUCGGGAUUAAUAUUCCAUAACAUUGCGAAAUGGCAUCAUUUUGCAAUUAAAGCUACGGCGGUUAAAGAUGGGCAUGCGUGACAUUAGCUAGUUGGUGAGGUAACGGCUCACCAAGGCUACGAUGUCUAGGGGUCCUGAGAGGGUUAUCCCCCACACUGGUACUGAGACACGGACCAGACUCCUACGGGAGGCAG